AGAGUUUGAUCAUGGCUCAGAUUGAACGCUGGCGGCAGGCCUAACACAUGCAAGUCGAGCGGUAGCACAGAGAGCUUGCUCUCGGGUGACGAGCGGCGGACGGGUGAGUAAUGUCUGGGAAACUGCCUGAUGGAGGGGGAUAACUACUGGAAACGGUAGCUAAUACCGCAUAACGUCGCAAGACCAAAGUGGGGGACCUUCGGGCCUCAUGCCAUCAGAUGUGCCCAGAUGGGAUUAGCUGGUAGGUGGGGUAACGGCUCACCUAGGCGACGAUCCCUAGCUGGUCUGAGAGGAUGACCAGCCACACUGGAACUGAGACACGGUCCAGACUCCUACGGGAGGCAGCAGUGGGGAAUAUUGCACAAUGGGCGCAAGCCUGAUGCAGCCAUGCCGCGUGUGUGAAGAAGGCCUUCGGGUUGUAAAGCACUUUCAGCGGGGAGGAAGGCGAUAAGGUUAAUAACCUUGUCGAUUGACGUUACCCGCAGAAGAAGCACCGGCUAACUCCGUGCCAGCAGCCGCGGUAAUACGGAGGGUGCAAGCGUUAAUCGGAAUUACUGGGCGUAAAGCGCACGCAGGCGGUCUGUCAAGUCGGAUGUGAAAUCCCCGGGCUCAACCUGGGAACUGCAUUCGAAACUGGCAGGCUAGAGUCUUGUAGAGGGGGGUAGAAUUCCAGGUGUAGCGGUGAAAUGCGUAGAGAUCUGGAGGAAUACCGGUGGCGAAGGCGGCCCCCUGGACAAAGACUGACGCUCAGGUGCGAAAGCGUGGGGAGCAAACAGGAUUAGAUACCCUGGUAGUCCACGCUGUAAACGAUGUCGAUUUGGAGGUUGUGCCCUUGAGGCGUGGCUUCCGGAGCUAACGCGUUAAAUCGACCGCCUGGGGAGUACGGCCGCAAGGUUAAAACUCAAAUGAAUUGACGGGGGCCCGCACAAGCGGUGGAGCAUGUGGUUUAAUUCGAUGCAACGCGAAGAACCUUACCUGGUCUUGACAUCCACAGAACUUAGCAGAGAUGCUUUGGUGCCUUCGGGAACUGUGAGACAGGUGCUGCAUGGCUGUCGUCAGCUCGUGUUGUGAAAUGUUGGGUUAAGUCCCGCAACGAGCGCAACCCUUAUCCUUUGUUGCCAGCGGUUAGGCCGGGAACUCAAAGGAGACUGCCAGUGAUAAACUGGAGGAAGGUGGGGAUGACGUCAAGUCAUCAUGGCCCUUACGACCAGGGCUACACACGUGCUACAAUGGCAUAUACAAAGAGAAGCGACCUCGCGAGAGCAAGCGGACCUCAUAAAGUAUGUCGUAGUCCGGAUUGGAGUCUGCAACUCGACUCCAUGAAGUCGGAAUCGCUAGUAAUCGUAGAUCAGAAUGCUACGGUGAAUACGUUCCCGGGCCUUGUACACACCGCCCGUCACACCAUGGGAGUGGGUUGCAAAAGAAGUAGGUAGCUUAACCUUCGGGAGGGCGCUUACCACUUUGUGAUUCAUGACUGGGGUGAAGUCGUAACAAGGUAACCGUAGGGGAACCUGCGGUUGGAUCACCU
Molecule: ribosomal RNA, 1528 nt
Filed under: Klebsiella variicola
Lineage: Bacteria; Pseudomonadati; Pseudomonadota; Gammaproteobacteria; Enterobacterales; Enterobacteriaceae
Also listed under: 1 other name
Description: 16S ribosomal RNA
Rfam family: Bacterial small subunit ribosomal RNA
Source: RNAcentral